CCACGGCCAGCCCCACAGUCCUGCUGCCCACGGCCACGGGGAACAGCACGGUGGCGGGAGGGAGCUUCCCUGGCUGGGCUCUGGCCAUCAUCAUACCCUGCGGUAUCGCCAUCAUCCUGGUGCCCUGUUGGAUCCUCCUGUGUUGCCUGCUGUGUGGCUGCUGUGCAGCUCUUAGAAGACGCUGGCACAGGAGACGGUCCUACAACGUGCAAUACACCACACGGAACAGCCUCUUCUGAGAAGACCCAUCCAGCACUUACCCAUAGAAGAGUCAACCAACAUCAACAGCAUCUACCCCAAAAAGACCUUCGUCUCCUACGACAUGAUGCACCAUCCCACGAUGCUAUGAUACACUUCACUUCAGGGAUCAGAGGGGAAAUGAAUGAUCUUUUCACUGUUGUUAAGAAACACUUUUAACAGUAUGUGUUUCUCAGAAAAUGCUGGUCAAUGGACACUUGGUAUUUCGCAAACACCGUCUUCAUUUUCACUUUAGCAGUUUGAUACUGUGUUGAUGUUCUGCUAUGCAAAUACAUGACCUCCUUCUUUUGUCUGUAAAAUAAGCCUCGACGUUCAGCUGGAAUCUGAAUAUUUAAUUGCUGUCAGUGUUUUCUUAGAAACAUUCUGUCAUUUGUAUGUGCAUGUCAAAAUCGGCUACUCUAUGGCUGGAUAAUGUGUGCGCUGUCAUUGUUGUAGGUCUACCGUUAUUAUAUGGGAGAAGCAUGUUCC
Molecule: long non-coding RNA, 726 nt
Organism: Megalops cyprinoides (Indo-Pacific tarpon)
Lineage: Eukaryota; Metazoa; Chordata; Actinopteri; Elopiformes; Megalopidae
Exons: 3
Source: RefSeq, a predicted model, not a curated record